UUUUUUUUUUUUUUUUUUUUUUUUUUUUUUGCAAAUUUUUUGAAUCAUUUGCUUAUGACAUAAUACCGGACAACUUCCAGAGUGUAUCCGACAGUUUACUAUAGGUUAAAAUCGUUUGCAUGUAUCUAUCGGUCCCAAAAUUUUCAGACUUGUUUUCCGAAAAUCACAACCAAUUGGACUUCGGUGAAGUAGUUGGCUGGUGGAGAAAACUGGUAUACAUUCCAUUUAUUAAGCUAAAUGCAUAUCCGGGAUCAGUUCCACUUUGCACCAUUUUUCUUUUCACUGUUAGAAUUCAUGCCAAGAAAAACUCUCAAGAACCAUUCCCUCUCCCUUGAGCCACCCCAGAGACUAAGCCAUAGUACCAAUUAUUAUUCGGUCGGGUCUUUCUUUGGGCUUUGUUUAAAUCAUUGUACAUUUUCUUUAUAAAUCAUCACACGAUCCAACAGCACACAGAAAAAUUUGUAAGGACGACGAGGGAUGAACUAGGUAGUAGCUAGUCUCACUGCGGAGUACAGAUUGAGACCUUGACUCGAUCCAAGCAGGAUUUGCCAUCAAGUUUAUUGCCUUGUUGCCGCUCCAGAUACUCUCUGAACUUCAUUGGAGCGUACAAACCUGGGAUUUGAUUACCAUGACUGUCGGUCAGCAGGGGAGAGGCCGGGGCAACACAUGCGUCGAAUGAUGGACCAUUAGCCAUGGCUAUGGAAAUUCUUUUGGUUUUGUUAUUCACCACUGCUCUGUGCAAAAUACUCUUGUAUUUCCCGUUGCUCACUAUCUGUUUCAAUUCACGGGCAAUUAUAUUGGUAAUGGUAAUAGAUAAUGAAUUUAAUCUCGUUCCUUUAUAAUGAAUUUUUCCUUCUAUGUAUAAUUGUACUACAGAACAUAAAUAUGUUUUCAUUCGUGCCAGAAAAAGAAUUCACAAAAGCGCUGGAAGAACCCUUAAAAGAAAUUAUUAAAUGAUUGAUGAUUUUACCUCAAGGUGGUCACCGGUAUUGACCAGAAAAGAGUUUGGAAGCGCAUUGACAUUAACCCAUUUCCCGUUGUGUUGGAUUUGCAGCCCUCCCACUCCAUUUUGUAGGAGAAGGGUGAGGAGACCAUGAUCCGAGUGCGGGGCUAUGCCCAUUGCUAGCUCAGGCUGAGGACACGGCGGAUAGUAAUUUGCUACGUAUAUCUGCACACCUGAAUCGAAAUCCAGUAAUUUUGCUAUGUAUCCUUCUUCUAGACCAAGGCUUUGUGAUAUUCCUCCAAGCAACUCCCUCGCGACUCCUCGAGUUCUCUUGGCGUAUUCCUCCAAAAGUUCACUACAGCGGACCAUCGCCCCAACUACCGCUUAGAUUCCAAACCAUUUACGGCAAUUAUAUUAAGAAAAUUACUACUCAAUGAUUAUAGUAAUUAUAUUAAGAAAAUUAAGAAGUAAUGAAUGAAUUUGGACUAAAUUCGAUCCGAAUCAGAUAGAUAUUAACUUCACAAGUAUUAGUCCGAAACUCUGAAUGUCUUACUAGCUUAGGUGUGAGCUAAGCCUGAAUUUAUUAAAUCCCGCCUUAGAUGAUUCGGUUUACCACCCUAGUUUGUGAUGCAAGCAAAUAUUUUUUUUGACAAAUAAUUCCUAUCCAAAUAAUAAUUUUAACCGACUAUACUUAACUACCAGUAGUUUUUUUUUAAUAUACCAUUUUUUUAAUCUUCUUAUCCCUAUAUAUGAUCCCUUCGUAUUGUAGUAUUUCUAUCCUCGAUUUUGCAACUCUUUAAAACCUAAAACCAUACAAACAAUUGAUUGAGUUUUAUGGUACAUGUUUGUAAGUUUCAAAAUUACAUUGAUUGAGUCUUUUGUCUGUAAGUUUUGAAGUUGCAUUUAUGUGAUGUUACAAGUUUCAAUUUCUUUUUUUUUUUUUUUUGUCUGUUGAUCAAUCAGCAGGGGAAAACACACACACACACACUAAUCCCAAUCUAACACAUAUUAAGAGAAGGCCCAACUGACCAUGGAUGUCUAGAAGUAGAGAAAUCCACUUUUAGACAAAAGGAUUGCAUUAUUGCACAUUCUUUAGAUACAAUCCUUAGAUUUAAUUGCGAAAGGACUAGCUAAAAGUGCAUUAUCCCAGUCAGAAAAUUUAAAUGGUCCACUAAUUGUGCAUAAUAUGUGAUUAACGUCAUAUUCCACCCAGCACCCACUUAAAAAAGUGGGGUGUUUUCGGCUCAUGCACCUCAGCAACCCAAUCCACAAUGGUUAUGGAGCCUACCCAAUCCUCUUGAUUUCGUGUAGAAAACAAAUUUUGUCGAGUCACACUCGAAAACACACAUGAUUUAAACAAUAGUAAUAGUGGUAGAGAAUUCACCAGAAAUACUUGCCUUCGUACCAGCAUUAUAAUGGUGCUAAGAAAUUGACAAAUGGUUAGCGAUAAGUAAAGGGAAAACUGCAUCGUAAUAUUUUGCAUAUCCAGAAUCACGAAGCGUUUGCCGAGGCACACUGAUGUUUUGAAUUUUGACAAAUUUAUGAACUUAGAGAUUAAAAAUCUUUUCAAUGAUACUAGUUGACCAAAUUACCGUAAGUUUUUUUUUUUUUUUUUUUUAACUAAAAAAAAUGACAUGAGUCGUCGAGAUUGAGAGAAUCAUGUGCACCUGAAAACUCUGGGGCUACGAGGACAAUGAAAGUCAGGAUGGACGAAGACCUUGAGGAAGUCCCUCCACAAGAAGAUUUGCUCUUUGGAAGUAUUGAAGCUGGUGCCAUACCUGAUGGGAUCCAGCACAUGCUUAGUUUCAUAUCCCAUCUUCUCCUCCUCCGCCAAGUUGAAAAACUCGUUGGUAACAUCAAUUAUGGCAUUCAUCAGACUUUCCGGUAUGCCAUGAUUCACCACCUGCACGCGCCGUCACAUACUAUAUAGUAUCACCCAAACCAAACCAGGCACAAGUAUGAUAUAUUUUGCAGUUCUACUAGAAACAAAAAGAGGAGUCAGACUAUCCAGAAUUUCAGGUGUCCUGCCCCUACCAAGUAGCUAGGAAUCCAAAUUCUCAAGUGGGAGGAAAACAAAAGGAGAAAAACCACCAAUAAGAAGUAAAGGGAAUGAUCCAGCAGCAGUUACCAUGAAGAAACCCCAAUCUUGGCAUGCUCUUCCAAGGUCCCGGAUAGCUUGAAGACGCUGAUCAGGAUUGUUGGAGCUAAGGAGUGAAAAAUCGAUGACGGGGAUUGAAACUUGAGGGUCUGAAGCAACAGAAUCAUGGGGGUGGGCGUUGAAGUAAGCAUAACUAGAAGGGAUGAAAUCGAGGCUUGGUGAUUCUGCUAGUAGUUUAACGCUUGAGAAAUUAUCUCGGGGUUGAAGCAGUGGCGCCACUGAUGAGGCCAUAGCUUCAGUUGGGAGGGCAACAAUUAACGAUGAGGUGCCUGGGAAAUUUCUCUGAGUAGAAACUGAUGAAUUGGGAAUGGAUUUGUUAAGACUGCUAGCAGUCUAGUACAUGAUUGUUUGGUAGUGGUUGGUCUUUUUAAUUGACGCCGAGGGCAACGAGACCCCUGAUCUUUGUGCUUUUUAUCUUUUUCACCCUUUUUUUUUUUUUUGGUGUCUUCAAAUCCUUAAGUAGGGAGCUCAACAAGAAAGUUUUAAUGAAUCGAGAUCACCAUUCGUUUUGGCAUAAAAAGUCAUUAGAAUCUAUUCUUUCACCGCGAGGGGAACUGGUUUGGGAUUGCAUAAGCAAUUCAUGUAAUCAUUUUCUAAUGUGAUAACGUGAGGAGAUUACUCUUGUUAAGACGAACUCCAAUGGCUUAAUUUUGAUUAGUUGAACUUAACAACCAUGCUCUAAAAACUAAGCAAAUAAUGAUGAUAUGCGAUUACGUGAAUCCCUGCUUCAUUAUAUUAAAUAGUGCCUCGAGCUGUUAGUAUAAAAGAUCUCACAACAGAGAUAAUUUGAACUUUCAAACUAAGUCACUCAAAAGUAUAUGACCAAACAAAAGUCCUGAGAUUUUUCUAGAGAAUUAAUCAAACUCAACAAAGCCGAGAUCCAUGCUAGAAAAGACAGGCGGAAGGGUGAAACUUCGGCUGAUCAAUCACAGGUAGAAAGUGAAAGGUACUAUUCUGAUUAGUAUACUCCUAACACUUAGAACUCAAGGAGACAGAGGCACGAACCAAUAGAACAGAUCCUGUUCAAGUAAGGUCGUAGCUUACUCUUAACACUACUAAACUCCCAAAUAUACUUAGUUAAUUUUUUUUUUUUUUGGUCAACACUUGCUAGUCAACAUGAAAUUCGUACUUUGAGUUUCUCACAGUUGUCUAGCUAUCAUAUUACUUAACUCCUAUUUCCUUGGUUUUGGUUAUUAUUAUUAUUAUUAUUAUUAUUAUUACUGCUAUUAUUUUGCUAAAACAUGGAAUAAUAAUUAUUCAGUUCAAAUCAAUUUGCCCCUAAAGUGUAAAUAUGUAGAGACAUAGUAUAAAUAGAUUGUGGUGUAAAAAACUAAAAAAAGAAUUAUUUUUUCGUCAACUGGUUUGGAAUGGAACUAGCAAGUCCCGUGGUUUGGAGGGACUAAUACAACUUUGAGUGUGUUCCAAGAGUCGUUUCUGAUGAAAUCCGGACCUUCGGAGCCCUUCCCUCCUGUACUUCGUUGGACCAUAAGCAGCUGGAAUAAGAACACGCCGCCCACUUAGCAUAAAUACCAAAAUCAUUCGCUUUCCUAAUGAUCUUUAAAUUAAAAUGUUUUCAUUCCUAUGAUUUUAUCAAUUUAGUAUCAGUAAUUUUAACUUGCAUUAAUUUGUUUUAAUUUAAUUUUUCAAGUAAUUUUGGAGAAUGGACAUAUUUUAACUAGGGGUGGCAAUUUUCGACACGACCUGAAAACACGACACGAACCUAACACGAAAUUAAUGUGUUUGGGUUGAGGUUUUGGGAAUUCGGAUCAGAAUCGGGUUGGACCCGAUGAACCCGAAAAGAAAACAUGUCGAUUUCGGGUCAACCCGUGGUGACCUGAUAUGACCCGAUAUGACCCGUUUACGAAUUAAAAAUAAUUUAAUAAAUAUAAAAAUAAUUUUAUCUAACUAACCUAAGUUAUUCUUUUUUUCAAAGGCAUUAAUUACUUAAUCAUAAAUGAAUUUAUUUAAUUUGUGUGAAGUUGAAAUUAUUAUAUUUGGACAAAUAAUAUAUUAUAUUUUUUUUACUUUUAUACUGUUUUAAUUUAUUUUAUAUUUUAUUUGGGAUAAAACACUUUUACGGUGUUUAAUUUAUUUUAGAUUUGGUUUGGAAUUACUUAUUUAAAUUUUUACUACUUGAUUAUGUAAUUAGUUUUGUGAGAAAUUGAUUUUAUUAGAAAUUACAGUGAUAAAUUAAUAAAUUAAAAUUAAGUUUUGGGUCAUUUCGGGUCGACCCGCCAACCCGUCAACCUGAAAUUUUCGAGUUCGGGUCAGCAUACCUGACCCGUCACGGGUUGGCGGGUCGGGUUCGGAUCAACAGAUUUUCUGACGGGUUGACCCGAACCCGACCCGCCAACCUGAUUUGGACCCGAAUUGCCACCCCUAAUUUUAACUAUGAAUUUACAUUUUUAUAUAUAAUUAUUAGGUGUAUAUUUGAUUGCAAGUCUAAUAUUUUUGGAACAUUUUAUAUGAUUGGUCAAAUAUGACCAAGAAUUUAAUUUCAAAAUUUUUGAAAAUUAUAAAAAUAUAAAAUAAUUAUGAUAUCACGUUGACGUUACCGAAUUAUUAAGAACGAUCCGAUCGAUCUGAUCAGUUGGCCCCUAACCUAAUAGUUUAGUUGAGUCGCUAUCCGGUCCGAGUUUAAUAACAUUGCAAUACGGGAAGAACAAAAGAAACAAGUGGUCAUUCCAACAACAACAGGAAAAGGAAAAAGCUGAUAAUCAUGUACGCCUGAGAAUACGAACAAUAAUAAACAACAUAAGAACUAACCAGGAAGAGACAGAUUUCUUGUACAUCAGCUGCAGCAAAACGUCCGGACAGAAACUCAAAAGACCAGUUCCCUAAUUUACUUGAGCAUGAAUGUAUUUUAUACUCAUUCAUCCGACUAUUUGAUGAAGCACACCAAUUCAUCAGGCUCAUGCGAAGAGAACACGCAGCAGCAAGGAAAGAACAAAAAUCCACCGCACCGCUAAAUUUUUUAAUUGGAAACUGUGUAAGAGAAAAAUGCAGUUUUGAUACCCAAACUUUAACACGAGCAGUUUUAAUUUUCAAAUUUUGGACAAAAACAAAUCUAAUACCCAAUUUUUUAACUAUUGAGCGCAUUUAGUACCCUUGACGGAUUUGUCCCGAAUUACUAUAAAAAAAAAUUAUGUGAUAGUUAUAUGUCCGGUAACUAUUGUAUAAAAAAUGCCAAAAAAAUGUAAAAUUUUCUUCUAACAUUAAGUUAUCACGUAAAAUAUCCGUUUGAUACUAGGUACUAAGUUUAAGGACUAAUAAUUUUAUCAAUUAAAAUAUUCUUCUGACACUAAGUACUAAGUUUAAGAACUAAUAAUUUUAUCAAAAGGAUAUUUUACAUUUUUUUGGCAAUUUUUUUAUUAAUAGUUGCUAGACACAUGACUCCCACGUAGCAAUUUAAAAAAAAAUUGUUAAAAGUACUAAAUAUGCUCAAAAGUUGAAAAUUUGAAUACCAAAUUUAUUUUCAUUCAAAGUUUGAGGACUAAAAAUGCUCAUCUGUCAAAGUUUGAAUAUUAAAACUAGUACUUUUGGAUACCCCAAUUAUCCCAAAUAAUAUUUCGCUUGCAUCAUAAACACAUUUCCCAACCUAUCUUUUUAUAUUCCCAAUUAUCUUUUUAUCUCACAUACAUCACAUCACAAAAAGUGCUACAGUAAUUAUUCCAAAUAAUAUUUCAAAUAAUACACUAUCCAAACAAUAGUAUUUUUCUCAAUUGAGCCAUGUCAUAAUACAGCGGCUGUCUGAAGGAGCUGGAGCAAAGCAAAAGACCAUAAAGUCAACUCUAUUUGUUGUGGGUAAUUAAAGUGAAAUCCAAGGGUCAGAUGGUCAGGAAAGAGGCACUAAUCAAUUGCAGCCAGUGCAAUCGUAGCAAGCCAUCAGCUUAAAAUGUAUAUGAAAUGACCAAAGAAUCCACACACUAAUGGUGUUGAUAGGGGACAAAAAAGGGAACAAAAGUCACUAUUCAUUGUCUGCUACUUUGUACGUUGCACCUGCACAUAUUCCUCGAUGACUGUGACACGUUCAUCAGGACUACAAGUUGAGCUGAGCAGGGAGAAAUGAUUAACGACGGGUAAUAUUGAAACUUCAGGGCAUGUUUGAAUUGAUUCGAAUUCGAUAGUCCAUGAGGUGAGAUGAGCACAAUCGGAAGGGAGGGACCUGAGAUCUUAGUUAUGCCAUUUUCACCGACGGUUGAUUUUAAGCCAGAAAAGAGAAUUGCGAAGCAAUACAGGUUUCCGAUGGAACUGCUUAUAGAGGGAAUGAAUCAUAGUACACUGGCCGACUUAAGUAAUUAAACAUAAUCGUUGAUUCCUUCUAAAAUGGAUAAAAGAAAAACUCUUGCCGUCUAAUGCGCCCCCCCCCCACCCCCCAAUUAGGGUAAAUAUGAUCUCUUAAAGACGGGGAAAUAUUAUUAGUUUUAGAAACAUAUUGGGCCACUAAUUUUUCAGUCACUUCCAUCUGCAUACACUUUUUGCGUCACGUUUUAGAGCAUUGAUAUUACCCAAGAACAAAAGCAUAAUUUACCUAUCUUUGAUAGUACCAGAAUAUCAACGAAUUAAUAGAGUAUAAUCCUAUUGAUUUGUAGUCACGUUUCAUUCUAUAGUUGUUCGUCUUCAAGGAACUGUAAAUUCCAAUGGAAUCUGGAAUCUAGAGCACAAAAUGUAGUGUACUUGGACGCAUUGGAAGAGCUGAACAGGAAGGCACGGAACAGGCGCCCGGAACAAAGAUCAUAAGCAGCUCAUUAAUAUAUAUAUAUAUAUAUAUAUAUAUAUAUAUAUAUAUAUAUAUAUGGGGCAUGCAAUUAGUGCAACUUGAGCUGUUCCAAGGUGGGUUUCUGAUUAAGUCUGGAACUUCGUUGCAGCUGCACAUAUUCCAUGUACUUCAUUUGGCCAUAUGCGGGUGGAGUUUCGCGCAGUAGCGGUGGAGCUGGUGUGACAAUGGUGUCGGGUGAUGGACCAUUGGCCACCACCAAGGAAAAUCUUGUCUUCUUGUUAUUCAAAACGGCUCUGUGCCAGACGCUCUUGUACUUUCCGUUGCUUAUUAUCUGUUAAUGACCAUCAAAUUCACAAGUAUAUAACAUCAGUCUCUUCUUUCUGAUUGAUUCACGUUGUUCUUUUUAAUUUUUUCCCUAAAUAUCUACAUGUUCAAACUAUAUAAUUCGAACUUACCUCGAGCUGAUCCGCAGUGUUGACGAAAAUGGCGCCCGGAAUGCCAGUAAGAUGAAGCCACUUUCCCUUAUUCUGAAUCUCGAGGCCUUCAACUCCAUUCUGAAGAAGAAAUGUCAAGAGGCCAGGAUCUGUGUGGGGUGGAAUGCCUAUUGCCAAUUCAGGCUGAGGACAGGGAGGAUAGUAGUUUGCGGCGAAGAUUUGAGUACUCGAGUCCAAUUCCAUUGCUUUCUCAAUGUAAUCUUCUUCCAGGCCAAGGCUUUGUGAAAUCCCUCUAAGUAAUUUCCUCGCCAAAUCUCGGGUUCUCCGAGAAUAUUCCAGUACAAUGUCACUACAAUGUAACAAUAGUAGAGGAGUCAAGGAUUUUUUUUAUGAGCAGAAAAUUAGUGUAGCAGUAUGCAUUAGUCUAGUGAUUAAGAUUGCGAUUAACCCAAAAACUUAAAGGUCUUGAAUUCAAAUCCCAUUUCCACUUCUUAAAUCCCAUUCCUCGUGCUUCUUCGGAUAAAAAAAAAAUGUAGUAGUAAAAAAGAAAGAACAUCUCUACCUCAUUUCUUUGGGUUUAGUGGGACAGUGAUACUCUGGAUGCACGAAAAACCUCAAAUAAUCCCUCCAUAACUUGACUUGCUGGUUGGAAUCAUUGCCAUCAAUGGUGCCAGACCUGACCAUGACGGGAUAUAAAGGGUGUUUGUUGUCAAAUUGCAACUUGUCCUCCUCCGGCAUAUCGAAAAACUCAUUACACGCAUUAAACAAUGCACUGAUCAAGUUUUCCGGUAUGCCAUGAUUUACCACCUGCAUGGAUGGAGAUACUCAGGCGCGUCAACCAAUUUGUUAUAAAACCAUAACUAGCAUAUGCAAAGAGCAAUAUUGGUACAACGAGCAGGACUCGUACGAAACCAUUUGCGGCGCAUGGAUAUUCUCAAGGAAGAGCAUAUGUACAAAAGAUUCAUGAUUAAUGCUAAUGAGUUCAAUGGAGAAGAGGACAGAGUUUGUUAAUUACCAAGAAGAAGCCCCAUUCCUCGCAGGCUUUACCAAGGUCCAGGAUGACUUUGGCACGUUCAUCAGGAUUAGUUGAGCUGAGCAGCGAAAAAUCAAUGACGGGAACUGGCACGUCAGGUCCCGUUUGAAUGGACUCUUGGGCAUCCUUAAAAUGAGCAAAAUCAGAAGGGAGGGACUUGAGGUCUUUUGAUUGAACAAGGGUUUUGAUACUGGCCAUUUUUCUGCAGGAUGGUAAUGAUUAGCAAGCGAAGCUGGAAUAAUGGCAAAGGAGAUGGGAGAUUUGAGUCAGGAGUCAGGAGUGGCAAGCAUGAACGGAGGAUGUGUACCUAUUUAUGUACAGCGUCGGGCGCUGGACGAAUUUGACUGUCAGGUGUGCGGGGUUUGGAAAUUAGGUACCUGAGACAGCAUAACAUAACAGCCUCCCUGGUCAAUAAUUUAUUCCUAUCUCGCUUUGAGUUUCAUUUUUCAGCUUUGUCCAGCACUAGGACUCAUCUAGAAUUCUAGCUAGAUAAUGAUAAUUUCGAAUGGCCGAGACGGAAGAGCAUAUAUUUAACAAACAAAAAACUGCAAAAAAAAGUUUUGUAGGGAAUCAGAAGCAAUGAGCUCGCUCACUUGUUGUGUGAUGUAUCCCUCACAGUCACAUUGUCGACGGGUCAUCAAGCUGGUAGGUGAGAUUAUGUUUAUUAGUCUCUGAGACGUGACAUGUUUUUAGAGAACAAUUCCAGGCCAAAAAAGGUGUGCUAUGAAUAUUGGGGGGAUUUUCUCCAACCAAGAAACACCGAAAAAAUUCGUAAGGGAUUGUUUAUAUAAUAACAAAAGAGAAACGUACCUAGUCUAGUCUUCUAGUAAUAAAGUGCCACUCUGUUUGUGACUAGAAGGGGUGAUUGUCAGUUUAGGUCGAGCAACUCGCGUACGAGAGGCUUUCACAGUAAGGGUCCGAUUAAUGCAGGAGGCAAUUAGAAAAUGUCAAAAAUGGAAAGUUGUAUUUCUGCAUCCCGAUUUUAGGUUUGUAGGUCCCUCCAUACACCCAUUCUAGAAGCAACGUAACUCAAUAGCAGUUAAAACAAAUGGAUCAUAAUUGGUGUACCAUAUAAUAAACUCUGACGUAACCCUCGAUCAAAUCCAAAAAAAAAUGGCUGCCCGGUUGUUUGCAGAGGUUAUACUUGUUUUGCAGGAGUAGGAUAGGAUAGUUUUGUAGGAUAGAAACACGAGCCUUCCCCCCCCCCCCCCCCUCCAUGUCCGCUCUGUCUCUCUCUUAGGUUAAUACUAGUAGUACUUCGCAUUAAGUAUUUCUUUUCCAUUCUAUACCCUAUUUUUUGGGGUAGAUUUUUUAUUUUUAUUUUUAUUUUUUUUUGCAAUUAAGUAUUUUUUUUCCAUUUUAACAUUUAGCAAAUGUUUAUUUAUAUUUUUAUAAUAAAAAGUUUGGGUGAUUUUGCUUUUGUUCGGCACCACGUUUUAAGACAGAUCCAUCAAUUCAUGAGUCACAACUUUUUUUUAACAAAAAAGUGGUUCAUGUUUACCAACUGGCCGACAUGUAUUGCCAAUAUCUAACUAGACUAAAAGGUCAGUUGAAUUGCACUUCUUGAAGAGUUUUUGGGAAAUAAUUACUGUAACAUAUUUUUUUAAAAUGUAAUAUAUGCAAGAUAAAAAGAUGAUUAUAAAAAGUUUGUAAAAGAAAUAUUCACGAAAAAUGUAAAACUUUUCCACAAAAAUUAACAAUCAAAUUAAAAUAAGGGCUAAGCCAUUGGAUAAGUAUUAGAAGUCAACACACGUUGGCUCACUUAAUAAGAAAUGACAACAUCCUUUGAAAAAUUGCGUACUUAAAUUUUGCUACUGAAGAUUGUGAGAAAUGUGCCGAUGGAUAAUAUAUAAAUAUUCAAACUAUUUUUACAAACAAAAAAAAAAAAAAAGAAUAAGUAGUGAUAACGUUUCAUGUACAAUUCAAGCAAUAAGUUAAACUUUUGCAUGACAUGACAAGAAAAAUAGAAUUUAUUUGUUUGUUUGGAAAUCUGGUUAGUUGAAAAAAAUUUAGGGAAUAGCCUAACCCGAUUUUUCGCCCAUUCCCAGCACAUGUUGCUCAUUCUUUCCAAUUUAGCAAUUGGGAGGCCUUUGCAAAAGCUUUAGCAAAUGGGAAGAUUGCCUGCCGUGUUUGUUCUUUACCUUUUCGGGGAAAAAAAAAACCUUAAGGCAAGCACGGCAGGUUUGGUUGUUGCAAUUGUUGGCCAACUAUUGGCUACCGUGGGCUUUUUCAAUUAAAAAAAAAAAGUGUACGUUACCUGCCGUACUUAGUCAGUACGGCAUGUCAUAGAAUUUUUUUUUUAAUUAUAAUUUAAGUAAUUAGCCGUUAAACUUACAGUUUAGUCUUUAAACUUUAGAAUAAGACGCUUUAUUCUCUAAACUAUCAAGUCUAUUUCACUUUAGUCCCUAAAGUAUAUAACUUAUUCCACUUUAAUCCUUAAAAUAUAAAAUUACUUUUAUUUUUGUCCAUAAAUUAUUUUCACUUUAAUCUCAAAACUGUUCCACUUCCUCGACAAUCUUACUUAAAUGGGAUAAAAUUUAUAAUUCAAGGACUAAAGUGUUUCAUUUUUAAGUUUAAGGUCCAAAAUGAGUGUUUGGGGAUAGUUAAAUGGUACAAAUUGGAAUUAACUCUAAUUCCCCCGAAGAGAUCAAUUUAUUUACUCGAUUUCGAGGAUCAAACCGUCUUUACUGUGCACGAAGUUGCCCACGUAUACAAGAUACCAUCAAAUUGAUGAAUAUGAUUGGGGGUGCAGCCUCUCAACCACAAAGGCCCUAGCCCUUAAGAUCUAAAGUCUCUAUUUUCGGAGAAAAUUCUAAAAUGUCAAAAUUUAAAAAUGAAGAGGAAAAUUGGAGAUCUAAUAUACUUGUAUACUAUAUAAAUGAAAUAAUAAACUUUGCUCCUCGUAUUAGAUUUCCAUUUGUUUUUUUUUUCCUAGAACCCACCAUUGUAGGUUUAUCAAUUUCUGUUUUAAAAAUCAUUCUAAACCAGAAAAGUCAUCAAGUCUUUAUCUUUUUCUAUUUUGGUUAGGGGUGAACAAAUUCGAUACGUACUGAAUUCAUACCCGAAUUCAAAUUCAAUUUGGUAAUUUGAAAUCGGGUAUUUGGUAAUUUGAUACAAAAGCGGUAUUUACCGAAUUCACUGAAUUCUAAUAUGGUAUGAAAUAAGUAAUGAGAUUACGAAUUUGUUAAUAACCAAUUUCAAAUUCGUUUAUAAAGAAUUGGUUUACUAUUAGUAUAUACUACUAAUAUAUUAUUAUAUUAUAUAGAUAAAUGCUAUUAAUAAUAGUUAGUAUAUGGUAUUUUCAUGUACUUAUGAUAAUAAUAAUAUAUAAUGAUGUACAAUACUAUUUUAGUAUUUGUUAAUUGUUAUAUGACUAUAAUAAUACAAAUAUACAAUAAUACAUAACUUAACUAUAAUAUUUAUUAUUUUAUACAUGACUAGAAUUAGAUAAUAAUUAAUAAGUAUAGGUAUAAUACAUAACUAUAUUUAAGUAUAACUAUAAUACUUAUUAUUUUAAUUAGGUCAGAAACUGCAAUUAAAGGAUUUAGCAAAUUUUUUUUAAAUGAAAUCGGUUAACCCGAAUUCAUUACCGUUUCCAAAUUCAACGGAAUUGAAUGAAUUCGGGUAUCUCUAAUUCUAAUUUGAAAGCGGUUUAGAAUUUUGUAAGUUCAAUAAUCGAAUUUACUAAAUUCAUAUAACCGAAUUACCGAAUAUGCACCAUUUGCUCACCCCUAAUUUUGGUAAAUCUUCUUCUUUGUAAAUGGCAUCAAGUCGUUAUAGUCUUCCAAGACUAUUAUGCUCCAUGAAGCGCAAGGUGAUAAACCUACGAUGGAGUUGGAGGCCUAAACCGUUGGCGAAGGAUUGAAUGGUGACGAUGAAAGUAAUGGCAUAUGCAACAGAAAGAGAAAAACACAACGUACGUGUUAUGAGAAUUAGGCUAAAAACACAUUCAAUAUUCGAACUUCAAAGUAAGGAAAACUUAGAGAGGAUAAGUUAUGGGGGAUUCUACGGAGAGAAAUUUAACCGCAUGCCUUCUCUGUUUCUUCUUUUUUGUUUUUGUGCUUUUCGAAGAGUUAAACUUAAACUUCUUUUAUUUAGCAAUUACCGUCAAAGCGUAUAUGAUGAACCUAAGCUCAAACUUGAAUAUGAAAACGAUGAUGAAUGCGUUCAUCCUUAAUCCUCUGCAUGAAAAGAACACCACCGACGCCAACUUCUUCUAAGGUGUCCCAUUCUCUUAUUCUGACCUACUCAGAUUGCCUCAACAUAAUAGCCUCAAAAUAAAAGCAAAAUCAGCUACAGCUCUUUCCCCUAACAAGUUUCAUCCGAUGCCUCGAAAGCAUUCUUGUUCUUGCAGUAAGCAGAUUGGAGUAGUAGUCUAAAACUUUAUAUCUUGUGCGCCAUACAUAUAGUUAAUUUUUUAAAAAAUUAGUAAAAAUUUUUCACUUAAAAGUUUGUACACAAAUUUAGCAGUGCUUAAUAUAUUAAGUUAUGUUAUCAAACAUACACUGAAUUUAAAAAAUUUUAAAUAAAUUAAUUUUCAGUAUUAAGUGGAGAUACCAAACAAGGCCUUAGCUGUAAUAGGGAGUAAUAUUUUUCACCAACACCACCAAUACGAGUAUUAUAAAUCCCCAAAAAUCGAAAUUGCAAAAGUAUGGUUCGAAAUACAUAGUGGAAGACACAUAUAUAAAAAUAUAUAUAUAUAUAUAUAGAGAGAGAGAGAGAGAGAGAGAGAGAGAAAGUAGGUUAGCUGGGAGGGAGGAGAAUCCAAGUGGACGAAAAACUCUUUCACAAAAAACAUAAAAGUAGUACAAGUCCAAUAGUACUUAUUUAUCACUGUUGUACGAGGGAAAAAAAAAAAAAAAGAAAUACAUCUAUAUUUUUCCUCCAGUGAGUUUUAGUAAGCGGAGGAGGAGGAGCUCGUCAGCUAGCGUCCAAUAUCUCCCGCCUCGUUUACAAAUGUAACAAAUGUAGCAAUAAGGUGGAAAGAAUGGUAGCAGGACAUGCAGCAGACGAUCGACAAGAGGAAGAACAAACUAGUGCAGCUUGAGUCGAUCCAAGAGGGGCUUCUCGUGAAGUCUGGUCACACGUUGUACAUUCACGUAUUCCAUGUACUUCAUCGGACCGUAUGCAGCCGGAGCUUCGCGCAGCAGCGGUGCGGCUGGGGUAACAAUUGUAUCAGGUGAUGGACCAUUCGGCACCACCAAGGUAAUUCUGGUCUUUUCGUUAUUCACCACUGCUCUGUGCCACACACUCUUGUACUUCCCAUUGCUCAAAACCUGGUGGUAAUAAUUUUGAGUUCAUAAACAAACAAACCCCCAAAAAAAAAAAAAAGAGAAAAGAAACACACAUUUGAAAAUUUUAUUAUUCAUGCAUUUCUUUUAAUCAUUGCGUAAUUCAAAGCAUCAAGUUUUUUAGCCCAUUCUCUCUGCUUUUUUUUUUAAAAAAAAAAAAAAAAGGUUUCGUCCAUCCAAGAGGUUAGUAAAACUUGAGUAGUAGUAUGCCAUCCAUACCUCGAGUUGAUCGGCAGUGUUGACGAAAAUGGAGUUGGGAAGGGCAUUAACGUGGAACCACUGGCCUUCGUGUUGGAUCUCGAGGCCUCCAACUCCAUUUUGCAGGAGAAAGGUGAGGAGGCCAUGAUCCGUAUGAGGAGGAAUGCCUAUUGCCAAUUCAGGUUGAGGACAGGGUGGGUAGUAAUUUGCUGCGAAGAUUUGGGUACCGUGGUCCAAGUCCAUGGCUUUCUGGAUGUAGUCUUCUUCCAUGCCCAAGCUCUGUGAUAUUCCCUGCAGUAAUUUGCAUGCCAAAUCUCUGGUUCUCUGAGAAUACUCCGAUAUAAGAUCCCUACACCCAUUCAAAUUAAGUCAAAAUGACCCCGUCUGGAUUGGAACCCAUUUUUAGUCAGUUCAGUUUCCAUGUGGUAACAACAUAUAUAGAACAUAUAUUUAUUUAUAUAUAAUCUAUAUCUAUAUAAGUUGCUUUUCAUUCUUUUUGUUUGUCCUUCUGCUUUUUUUUUUUUUGAGGUCGCGUGGGUCAACAGAGAUAAAGUAGAAAAUAAAAGGGUUUGGUGGGGCCAGUACGGGACCAUUUUUCAGGCAAUUGGAGUCAAGUGCUAGUGCAAUUUUUAAUCAAUUGACAUCAGGUCAAUUUCACACUUCCGUGCGUUGUAAGUUGUAACUUAGUUAGUAGUGUAGGUAACAAAUCGAGGCCCCGCCAAAAGUGACGCAACAGUAGAAUUUAUGAGUCACUAUAAGUCAAAUCAUACCUAUUAGUAUUACUAUUCCUAUUUAAUACUAACAUAAUAAAACACUUUCGUAAUCCCUUGGGUCGGUCAAAAGAAUAUGGCUGAUUUAUAAAUGAUCAUCCAGAAGAUUGGUAUUGCUUUAGUAGUGGAUAGAGUAUUAUUUAAGAUGUUAUCUGGAAUAAUUAUUGUAAUAUUUUUUAUGAUGUAAUAUACGUGAAAUAAAAAUAUUGUUUGAAAAUUUAAAAAAAAAUGCAUUGAAAAACAAGUGUUGACUUCUGAUCUAAUUAUUCCAUUUUAAAAACUUGACCCCAAAAAAAAAAAAAAAAACUUUUUGGUUUUGUCUUCUUUUAAACAAUAGAAAGUUCAUUGUAUCCUCUUCAUCCAUUUUAGGUGGGGGUGGGUUGGCAAGGGGUGAUGGGAUCCACUAUAUUUGGAUCAUUCUGCCAAGAAUACUAGUAGCGAGCAAAUCAUCUACGUAACUUUUCACAGGGGAAUCACGAUUGUUGACAAGGGAAAGGAAAAACUAUGAUGGGAUGGAUGGUUUACCUGAAGUCCUGGGGUUUAUCCGGGCAGUAAAACUCCGGAUGCACAAAGAACCUUAGAUAAUCUCUCCAGAAGAGGACCGUUUGGUUGGAUUUAUCGUGAAUUGUACUGCCGGACCUGACCAUGACCGGAUACAGGGGAUUUGUGGUUUCGAACUUGAGCUUCUCCUCCUCCGGCAUAUCGAAAAACUCAUUACACACGUUAAACAAUGAGUUGAUUAGGUUUUCCGGUAUGCCAUGGUUUACCACCUGCACGCAUCUUAUAUUUCAUCAUCCAAUUCAAUCAUAUGCUAUGCAACACUAGUUAUAUGCAUGCCGGACAGAGCGAUUAAUUAUUCAUUGGUUCAAAUAUGUGUAUAUAUAUGUGUAUUAAUUUUUUCAUCAGCAAAGUUCAAGGUGGUGAAGAAUAUGAUGGUUUUCUCAAAGGAGGAUUAUAGAAGCAAAGCGGUGAGAGGAGGAUUAAAUAAGAAAGACGACAACGGUGGCAAUUGAACUCCCUCUCCCUCUCAUUCUAAAGCGAAAAGGGGGAGAAAAAAAUUCCUUUACGAACUACAUUGCAUUGGUUGGAGUAUGAAGAUUCAAACAAUUCUCGAGUAGGAUACGCAGUCUAUGUUUGCUAGAUGCUUUAUUCUCAUGAAGGGAGAAAAAGAGAGUGUACCAUGAAGAAGCCCCAUUCCUCGCAGGCUUUUCCGAGGUCCUCGAUGACUUUGGCACGUUCAUCAGGAUUGGUUGAGCUGAGCAAAGAAAAAUCAAUCACGGGAAGCGAAACUUCAGGGCCUGCAACAAUGGAUUUUUGGCUGUCUUUGAAGUGAGCGUAAUCAGAAGGGAGGGAUUUGAGGUCUUGAGAUUGCACGAGUGCUUUAACGCUUGCCAUUUGGGUCGUCAAGUAAAUAUGCUUAGUUAACUGAUCAAGCUGGGAACCGCAAACUAAGCAAACUGAGCUAAGCAGUAGUAGGAUGGCGGUGGAAGAAUGGCCCCCAGGCCUGGCUCAAUUUAUAGGUGCAAAACUAGUAGACUCAGUAGUAUAUCCCGGGUCUCAAAGUGUGAGCGCCCGUUGCCCUUGGCUGGCAGCUGUUUUGAUACUUUUGUGCGGAUGGGUCCUACCAACCCCACUUCCCCACUUACCAGAUAUUUUCAAUUUAAGACCUCUUAGUAUACUAACCUUCCACUAUUUCCCUCUAAUUCAACCCUUCCCCCAUACUUCAAUCCCGUUUGUCCUUAAAGAGCAUAAAUAAGAUAGAGAGCAAGGCAUCAAAGAUUUUGAAAUAACCAUUUUACUCUGAAAAGGACUAAAUUUGACCGGUGAGAUGCAAUGUUUUAAAACUCAUAUCAGUAAGUAAACUAGUGAGGUGUCUGGCUCGCGAUUUAAUCGGUUUGACCGAUUCAAUCCCGAUUCAAUGUUUUGUUAAUAAAAUAUAUAAAUAUAUGUGUACAAAAUAAGAUAUCAAGUGGACUAAUUUAAGAGAUCACCUGAUAAAAACAUAAAUAUUUUUCAAAGAACUUACACCUUCAAAGAUAAAUUUUAGUGAUUAGUCUUCAGACUUCAAAAAAAUUAUUCUUUUUUUUUUUCCAGUCUAAUUGACAAGAGCAUAAAACUGUCAUUUUCAUGGUCGUUAUGAUUCACACGGUUUUGAUCAAUUCUUAGACCUAACCAAUAUAAAGUAUGAAUCAAAUCAAAGUCACGACCGAUUCACAAUUCGAUCGAUCUGAUUCGAUCUUCAAAACAUUAAUUGGUGAGACCUCGAAUCCCUGUUUUGAUGGGGCAAUUGCUACCUCGAAGUAUAUAACUUGACAAAAUUAUUCGAAAAGUUUGAUAUAUCUACCAAGACGACCUAGCACUAAGAGCCAAAAUCGUUUUAAUAGUGUGUUUGUCCCGCCAACAACAUUAGCCACUUUUAUCCACGGAUAUGAUGGAAAAAGAACGGACUUUGUUGUGGAAAAUAAUUUCCUGCAGCAGGAACCGACGCUUUCGUUCGUUAUUCACAGAGGGAACACCAAAAUUGACCUUUUGUUCGCAAGGCAGAUCUCGUUUUUGUUAAUGAAACUUCAAAAAUAUUUUUGGAGAUUAAUAUUUAAAUGGGACACGAUGAUGUAUCAUCAGUUGUCAUAUUUGGAACUUAGAUGUGAAAGUGCAUUGUAAAGCUGCUAAUUUCACUUUCACGUCAUUGCAGUAAUAAAUGCGCUCUAUUUAUUUUUCCCGGUUGUUUGCUAGCAUGAGAACACGGUAGAAAGAACAUACAAGAGCAAGUUUCAUUGAGCUCUAGUGCCUAGUAAUCAAGUGAGAAUUGUAUGUGCUCUUUCAUUAACAGCAGUUGAAUGCUGCUGGAAGCCAUGCAAGGAAAGUUUUUAUCCAUUAAAUAAAAUUAAAACAAAAAAAAAAAAAGGAAACACGACCACCAUAAUAAGGGCCGAUCAAAACACCAUCUUUAUGGUACACCAACGACGAAAUUCAUGAAUACAAAUAUUUUGAGAAUAAUUUGAAUAAAAAGCCAAGUGAUCAGAUGUUGACGAGUAUUCGUUUCUUAGUAACACUACUCGAUUAUUACUAUUUGUCACGUUGUAGUGUACAUGCUUACACAUCAAAUUAUUUGAACCCGAUCCUGCAUGUUAUAAUAACCUCUUUUUUAAAAAUUUUAAAAAAUAACUUUAGGGUUUUUAGUAGUCGAUUCUGCUAGUUCAUUUGAACUAACUCAACGAAGCUGCUGGGCUACAGAUCAACUUGGAAAUUUAUCCGGCCAGCAGCGUAGCCUAAUUGAAAAGACCGUAGCAGUAACCAUGUACGUCCGACAACGAUGCACGCACGCUGUGGUAAUUUGAUUCUGACUGCGGUGGCCUGCGAAGUUGUGCCUUUCUUUUUCUUUUUUUUCCUUACAAUGGAGGGUGAGCGUUGUACAGAAGAGACUAAUGUAGGUAAAGCAACACCACGAAUAUCAAUGCAGGGGGGGUCCCUGGGAUUAGUCAUUCUCGUAGCCAAGCUCCUUCCCACAUCUAGAAGUUGUGCCUUUCUAGAUGAAGAAGAAGUGAUGCAGGUUCAAAGUCCAAGUAAAUCAUGAAAGAGGCACCCUGACAACCACAAGUUCGCACAUGGCUUUCAACUUAAAAACUUGGUUGGUUGGAUGGUGAUACUGAGGCAAUAGAUACAUUUUGAAUAACUUGGAAAUGAUCACAAAGUCAAAAUUUAGAACGAAUUGCAAGUAGAGCUGUUAAUCGAGCCGAGUAUUUGACCGUCGAGCUCGUUAGGAAAACGAGUUUUAAAAUGUGUUCGAACUCGGCUCGUUAAAGGUACAUGUGGCUCGAGCUCGAGCUCGAGCUCGACUCGUUUAUCACAAACGAGUCGAGCUUCACGAGUUCGAGCUCGAGUUCGUGCAAAUUAAUCUUAAUAAAAACCUAUAAUUUUUAAUUUUUAUAAUUUUGAUUUCUAAAAUGACAAAUAUGCCAUUCGUUAACGAGCUCUAACGAGCUAGUCGAGUAUCAAACGAGCCGAGUAAGUUUCGAGCUCGUUAACUAAACGAGCAUGUUUCGAGCUCGAGCUCGACUCGUUAACCAAAAUUAACGAGCCAAGCUCGAGUCUUAACGAGCCGAGCUCUAACGAGCUUUCGAGCUACUCGAUUAACUUAACAGCUCUAAUUGCAAGCAACCACCUACUCUUAGGGUAAUUAGUCACCAAAGAGUUUUAAAAUUCUAUUUGAGUGUAGGUCAAAGGAUCAAAUCCUCUUAAUUACAUUUCAAAAUUCAAACUUUCCUGAAAAUGUUGUCAGCUGGCGCUCGUCUGAAUCGGUGGUGAUACAGUGGUCUCCGUUGCAUAUAUUUAUGCAUAAUAUCAUUAGAUAUUGACUUAUAAUAGAUAAAUAAAAUUUGACUUGAACUUAUCCAUAUAAGUAAAUCUACAUAAAUAUUUCUUAUGAUCUCAUAUAUAGUAACAACCUUUUUUAUUUUGAGGCAUCGGAACAUGCAACCUAUAGUUAAAAAUUAACUCGACGUUGAAAAUAAUUAGCACAUUCUACUGAACCAUUUUUUAUACCCUUUUCUUUGAAUAUAAUUCAUUUUCAUAAAUUUGGAUACGAAAAAGAAAUACUUCUUAAAAACUUUUUAGAUUUUAAUUUCAUGUAACAAAAGUAAAUUUUUGUUAUUGUGAUAGUUUAAAAUGUAAACCCGUGCAUAGCAUGCAUGAGUCGACUCGAAAUACUUAGUAAACAGUAGUGUAGAACCAUGGAAAUGGUAUGUGUUGCAGACAUUUAGCACUCAGCCGCCGAUUCCUUCGAUAAGCUAACAACAUGGAUCAGAGUAAACUUUCUUCUUUUUAUUUCUUUUUUGAAAAAAAUUCUAAUCAGUAGUGCCUUUUCCACAUCAUUUUACUUGUAUUAGUUAGUCACACUUGAAGACUUUUGACUUUUGCUACGAGAAAUUAAGCAGUAGUAGUAUUAAUUUGAUGGAAAAACCCCAUGGAGUCCAAGAUCACAUAAAUCUCGAUCAGUAGAACUAAUUGGUCAAAGACAAUUUUGAACUCAUUAAUUAAGAGCUCUGACUGAAAUGACGAUCCAAAUCAACAUUAGAAAGGUGAAUCGUAGAAUCCUACAACUGGGAUCACAACUCUUUUGACAACAAUGGGUUCCCAAAGCUGAUACUCCACUGUACUGGGAGCCGGCAUUAGCGUCUUUGAUCGACUGAGAGUUUAGUCCCACAAGAAUAGGAAAACAUAUUAAGCUGGAAAUUUCCAUGGUUUUGCUUGUGACGCCGUCACUCUGUUGACUGUUUCUUCUCACCAGUCCACCUGUCGUAAGUAACCACUUGGAGGUGCAGUUGCCUUUUUUUUUUUUUUUUGCUUUAUGCGUUACAAUUAUGUCUGUUUAUGGCUGUAUUUAUUCCACAUUCAAUUCUGGGAGAGAAAAUGUGAACUUGUUUGUUUCUUCGUUUGCUCAUCAGGAAAAUGCUACUUCUUCGUUUGACUUUAAUGUAGUGUUAUGCACCUGUCCAAUUCUUAGAACACUAAGACGUAGAUGCUCAUUUAUUCUUUCCCCUGAGUUGAUGUUGUCAAACUUGACAUCCCGCUUGUUAUUUUUGAGUGUUCUAGGAUAAGGUUGAAUAAAAAGAUGUUUUCCUGAACAUUUUGAGGAGUGAAUGUUCUUGAAGAAAAAGAAAAAUAGUCGUCCAACUUAAAUGAUUCAUGCUAAACAUGAAAAUAAAACGAAUAAGUCGAAACGAUCUUUUCUUUUUAUGUCAUUCCUGCAUGUCAAAUCGAGAGGCAGAGGUUUUUAGUUCAAAUUUUACAAUGACAAGUUGUUUGAAUCAACUGACAUUAUUAUUAUUCAUCCUAACAUUUUCAAGUCAGUUUGUAAUUUUAUUCAAUUAAAGUUGUCUCAGGAAUAUUUUACUAGCACAAUUUUUACUUUGAGGUCUCAAAUGUUCUCCACCGGCUUGUGGGAAAAAAAAAGUAUAGUUACUACAUAUAUACUACUUGACUUCCAUGCACACUUUUGCUGUAGUACUUUGCGGGGCUGUGGCUUAAACGAAUGAAGUUACAACCGCAUUUUAUGAUCAAAAUGGUUUUCCGUCGAACAAACAAGUGAAUCAGCUCAGCAAAGAAUCAGCCUGUAUUGUUCUUGUUCUCAAAAUGUACUGUAACGAUUUGAUAUACGUGAGAUAAAAAGGUGAUUGAAAAAUGUGUUCAUGAAAAGCGUAAAAUUUUUUCGUUAGAAAAUUGCAAUCCAAAGAACACUAAGAUUUAUAAAUUUGGUUUUAGAUCUAAUAAAAAUCUACUCCACCAUGUAGAAUAACAUCAUGCGUCCAAACUGGGAACCCAUGAUUAAAAAAGUAGGAAUCAUUAAAGUUGAUGCUUGGAUAACCUUUGAAUGUUGUACUUCCUUCCACUCAAUUAUAUGUUUGACACAUCAAUUAAGCCUCCUCAAUAAUUGAGGUCCGAUAUUCUUUAGGCAAGAGCCGUAUACAACAAAAAUCCACACAUCAAAAGAGUGCAUUAUUCCUAGAGCUUUAUUGAUUGCCCUUUAAUCACACAAAAUUAAAAUCUUUUCCUUGGCUUAGUUGUUUCUAUUAUUCUGUUCUUCUUCCAGCCUACAUUAAUCACAUUUUUUAAGCAUACCAAAAUCUAAGUAAGGACGGUUAACAAGAGUACAAUAAAGAAAGAAAAUAGAGGCGGUUGCAGGCUGUAGCCUGUAAAGGACUAAAGUUUAGCCAAAUUCCCGAUAAUAUAUAUAUUUCCUGACCCAAAUUCACAGCAUGAGGAAUAUGCCACUCCAUUUAAGUCAAGCCGUGUUGUAUAUGCAGCAGUACUUCUACAGGUAUGCACUUCGGGUCGGUUCCAACCGCUCGUUUGGUUGGAAACGACCUUAGUCAGACGGCAUGCACCCAAGACUCCUGCUGCUGUUGAUUAAUGGGUUUUUGCUUUCCGACUAGAUGCUGUAAAAUUUUUCUGCAAAAAACGCAACUUCCGUGUUCCCACUGGAUUACUGUCAUUUGUUUCUGCCGCUUGGACUAAUUCCAUCAAUAUCGGGACAGCAAUUGAUGGUUAAGGAGUUUGGCGGUUUUCUUUUUCCUUACUUUAGGUUGGGUUUGAAAAAGAUCGCCAGUGCAGGCUGCUGAUGCCUGACCGCCAUAAUCUGAGUUGAUAUCUUGCAUGAAUUAUUUUGCCGUUUAUUGAUUGUUGUCUGCUAGCAUUAAUUAUUUUGCAGUUUAUUGGUUCCUGCUUGCCGAUCACUAGGUUUCAUUUUUUUUUUUUUUUUAAGAAAAAAAUAGUCACAACUUUCAUCUGGCCUCGCUUCAUGACUUUACACGACAUUGAUAGCUAAUGGGAGAUGUUUUAAUUUAUGGAAUGGUUCAAGGUUCUAGGAUUCAAGAUUCUUGAAUUUGAUUACACUGCCCUUUGUGGCACAAGAUAGCCUUCCUUUUGGCUUUGGCCACAUCUUUUUCAAAUUUUUUUUAAAACUUGGUAAUGUUAUAAGUAUUUAAUAUGCACUACUGCCCUCUUUGUUUGUUCUUUUCUUUUGAGUUGUAUGCUCACAAGUAGGAAUGCCCAAACAUUCCCCCGCCCCCGUCCCGCUUCUCCCAUGAGUGCUCGCAAGAGCUAAUAAAAAUUUGUUUUUUAAAUAGAAAAAAAGAAUUUUCAUUAAUGUAAAAUAAUGUCUACAACAAGUGUGGUAACAAUAAAAUCUGGAAGAAAGGCCCUCCAUAUACUUUUUUUUUUUUUUUCAGAAACGUUAGAUAAUUUCAUUAAUAUAUUGUAAACUAUACAAUUGCUGAGCAAAGGCCCAAUUUGACUUUACAAGUGCAUCUUGGCACUAAGGUCUGAAUUCUGAAAUCUGAAUACUGAAACAAUUAAUUUGCUAUGAAUGUCUGAAUUUUAAUACUAAACAUAUUUAUACUGUUUGAUAAAUACUUAUAAUUGAAUGCUUAAUAAGUUUAAUUUGAUAAUUUUGCCCUUAUAUCCUUUCAUUCAAAAAGAAAUAGAAUCUAUGACUUAAUUAGUUUAAAAUUGUUAGGUAUGAACAUGAUAAUAUUUAUUUUUAAAUCAAAUUAAUAUAAAAGAUGAAAUAUAUUAUAUGAGGAGUAUGGAGAAGAUGUGAAAGCCAUUAAAAAGGAAGAAAAGAGAAACUAAAAAUCAUUAGAUAGAAAACAUUAGGUUGUGAAAGUCAUUAAAAGGGGAUAAAAGAGAAACUAAAAAUUGUUAGAUAGAGAAUAUUAUGUUGUUUAAUUAGAUAAGAAUUUUGAACAUAAUUUACAAACAAGGGUAGAUUUGGUAGAUAAGCUAAGGUAGUUGAAGUAAUUCUAUUGAUUCUUAUUAGAAUUAAGCAUUCAGUUAGGAUUCUUGUGCUGAAAAAAUACAUACAAGUUCAGCACUGUUUAACAAGUUCAGCAGAUAUAUUUUCAUUUAUCAAACACUCAAAAUAUCUGAAUGUCUGAAAAGGUUUAGUUUCAACACUUUUUUAUGUUAUCAAACAGACGCUAAGAGUGUAACCACUCUUCAUCAAAAGAAAUGCUUAAUCCAUGCAUGCUAACUAAAUCAACCCUUUCCUCCGUUAAGUUAAUGGAUAAAAUGAAUGAGCAACAUUGUUCAACUUUCUAGGUGCCCAUAAUGCUUUCUAGGUUGCAAAGCUUUAUAUAUCUAUGAGAAUAUAAUCCACAAAGUUGAUGCAUCCGAAUCCAUACUUUGAGAAUCAUUUUAAUAACUUCUUGACAAUAGAAAUUUGUUAAGUGCAAAAGAAUAAAAGUGUAACUAGUAAUUUAGUAUAAAUGUAUUAAUACAACAAAUCAUUAAUUUAUAGUAUUACAAAUGUAUAAUUAUUAGUGUAAAUAAUAAUAUUAAUUAUAUUACAUAUACAUAAUCUAAUACUUAUAACUACUAAUAAUAUCAAAUAUAUAUUAUAUAUAUAAUUAUAAUAUAUUUAUUUUUUUAGGUGGGUAAUGGGACAGGGGUAUACUCCCUUAUCCCCCACCCCAUUUUUUAAGGGGGACAGAAAAUGAUCCUUGCCUCGCCCCAUCUCUCACCCCAUCAAUCCCUACGGGCACCCGUCCCAAUUGCGAUCCCUAUUCAAAUGGAAUAUGGACCUAUAUUAAGGUAAAAUAAGAACGAAAUAAACUUGAUAUUAGUGGGCAAUAAAGGUUGGAUUAAUCUUGACAAUAUAUACAUGAUCAUUGUUCGAUGCAUGACAAGCAAUUUGAAUUUAAAUUUAAAUUUUAAAUUUUAUAUAUAAUAUAUAGAAGCAUAAUAAUGUAUGCAUUAUCAAUGUAUAUAAGAUUACCCACAAAAGUGAUGGAAUUGUACAACAAAGUGAUCAUGUAUAUGCUCAUUUAAACAAAGUAACGAGACACAACAAAGUGGCAAACAAAGAUAAUUUCAAACUCACCCUCUUGAUCUCAAAGUCGCGUUUGAGUUCAACCAAGUUGAAUUGUACAAAAUCGGACUCGUUUUGGUUCAACAAAAUGAAAAGAUAAGAGAUUGAGUUGAAUCUCAUGUUCUUCUUUCUUUUUGGAGCAAAUCUUCCCGUUCAGGCUUGAGUGCUUAAGCGUAAACAACCCCGUUGGAGCUCUAACAGAAAAGAACAUUUAUCCCUGUUUAUUUAUCCAGUACAUAGCCAAGUUUCAAGUCAAAAUAGGAGCAAAAGCAGCAAGAAGAUUACAACAGAAAAUUUUUAUUCCCAAAAGUAUGAAAGGCGCAAACAUAUUUACAUGCCGUUGUCUACAUUCUAUGCUUAAACAAUUUUAAAGUGAGUUCAUUAUUUUUUCUUGGCGAUAGGCGUCCCUCGAAAACUUGUCUUACGCGAAAUUUGGGUUUCCAUUCAUUUUGAUGUUGCAUUACAUUAGCAUUUGAUCAGAUUCAGCAUGGUUAUACUCCCCUCUAAUUCGAACCACAUUCUAAGUAUUUCGCCAACUAAAACAAAGUUGGAACGGAGUCUGAUCAAUUUGAAAGGACAGAAUCAUCACUUUUGAAGAAGUAUCAUAUAAACUUUUGAUGGGUGUCAAACCACCAAAAUUAAAAUUCAUACUCUAAACUUAAAUUCAAAUAUAGCAGUGAGUAGAGUCGUCUACUCAAAGACUGCAUGAUUUAUUUCCAUCCAAGCAAGAAUUAAAUGGGGGGUUUUGAAAAUUUAAAAUAAAAAAAAAAUCAAUUUAAGUAAAAGCAAUCAAAUGAAAGAAAAUUUAAAUUAAUUCAAUAAUAAAAAAGCUCUAGCCAAGGAUAAAAUUCUGGAAUUGGUUCGUACAACUGCUUAUUGAUCUAAUAAUAAUUUCAUCUAUCCAUUAACAAACAUGUUAUAAUUGCCAAACAAGUAAUGACGAUCAAUAUUUCCUUUUGAUAAUUACUAAUAGUUAAGGUACCUCGUAGAAUUUAAUUUAUUAGUUGCAUUAAAAACUAGAAAAACCAUGUUAUAAGGAUUUAUUUAAAUUAGAUCAUAUAUUUCCCUAAUAUGAAACCAAUUACGCUAGUUACCACUAAUUUAAGACAAUUAAACAAUUACGGAUUUAACUGUCUUAAUUGGCAAUGGAUUAUUAGGUUGAAUUAAAUAUCGAGCCCUUCAUAUUCAAAUAACAAAAUAACCAUGAGAAAUUAAAUCAGAAAACAUACGAAUAUUAAUGAAUAAAAGAAAUAGAUAAAACAAUUACGUCUCACAGUUGUAGUUGAACCAAACCAUUCGUUAUCCCAUUGACUAGAAAAAGAAAAUUACCCCACUCAUCCUUGGGAAUAAUCCAAGUAAUUUCAUUGACAAAAGUUGCAUAAGCUUUCGACAAAUAGGAAAACAAAAGAGAAAAGACGGACAGCUCCUUAGUUUUUGUUUUGUGCCGAGACUAAUAAUAAUCUCCUAAGAACAAAGACGUUCCUCUGUUUUUCGUUCGAGACUACUCAAUCACCUCUACAAAACAAAGAUAUCCCCUUUUUAAAGUCGAAGAAAACAAAAAGUGAAAGAAGAAAUCCCCGUUUCUCACGUUUCCUUCGAAAGCACUACUACUUUUCUAAUUUUUCCUAAGAAAAGGAUAUUUCCUAAAAAUGACAAAGGAUAAGCUAACUCGUUUCCUAAUACAGGUUGGAAAGACUGAAGGGCAAUCAUCUUGGGAACAGAAAAAUACGCUCCUAAGGACUUUAACUUGAAUUGGGAAAUUGCCAAACGUGCAAAUGUCGAUCUCUCCGGACUUGACAAUAGAAUUUGGACGUGCCCACAACAAACCGGUUCAUCGUCUUCUGAAAAAUUGCCUCCUUUCAUCACUUUUUUCCUCUACCUCUUACAAUUAACAUCAUUAAUCAAGCAUAAGUAGAAUCUAUCAAUUAAUAUAAUAUUUGAUCAAAAUUCAAGGAAAAAUACUCAUAAAUUUGACAGCAAUUACGCACCCUGUCAACUUUAUGUAAGAGGAAGGAACGAGAGAUUGAGCUCUUGAUAAUCAUCCAUCAUACACUCAAUCCACACGAGAUUCAUAAAUAUGGAGUUAGAAGCCCGCAGGGAAGGGAAAGUUAAAAGCAAUGUACUGGGUCGUGAUUUGUUGGUGCAAACGGGGUUGGUUGGUUUCAAAUGGGUGUGACCAUUAUACUUGUACAAUAGAUAAUUUUUGAGUGAGAAUUUUCAUUAUUCAACAUGGUUGUUUAAAAUUUGAGGACCCUUAAUUUAAUCUGUUCCAAGAUACUCAUCCACCUGAAAAUUUCUUAAAAUUGAGGUUUAACUUCUUUCUUGUCUCGGCUCUUUCUACUACUGUUGACUCUAUAACUUACAACAACAACCCCUUUCUCAAUUUUUCUUUGCUAAAUCAUACUACUGUGGCUUUAAAAUGUUGCUCUUGAUUGACAUUCCAAAACUAGACGGCCUAUCCAGUAGGUUACCAGGACCGAAAGAGGGUUACCAGGCCCAAGGUGUCGUCCUACCCACCAGGGAUUUUCCCUCUAAUACACGAUCCAGGCCAAUCAUAAGUGACUCUGGUUUGGGCUACCUUAUUCAUCUGGAAUCCGGGCUACGACCCUGAAUUUUUGUCAAACAUUUUGUUUGACAGUGAUAGAACUGUCAAACAUUCGAAUGACUUCCAUUUUACCAAAAGCCUGAUUGAUGGCAAUUUUGCCAGUUUGUCCAACAGCAAUAUGCUUCAGUUUGGAAGUAAAAUGUCUUUCUAUCUGAUUUGGGGUUUCCCAAAACGAUUUUACAAAUGGGCUAUAUGGUAUCUAGGAAGACCAUCUGUCAUGUUUUUGUGUGGCACAGCGAGUUGUUGAUUAAGCUAAAUCAUUACCUACACAUUAGCAUUUGAAGAAUAUUUGGUCCGAGGUAUCUGAAAUUUGAGAUGUUCUUGUCUGAAAGAAGAAGUUUUGGCGGCGAAGGGAGAUCAUUAUUGGUAGGGAUUCCUUAGAAGAAGUUUGGUUUGUAAACUUAAAAUGUGGAUGGCUCAGCAGUAGAAUGGAGUCCGGGCCUGGUAGGUAGAGGUGGCGUGCUCAGAUCAGAAGUGAUGAGAGAAGCUUUUUCGGCUAUGGGGUGGUGAAUAUCGGACAGGCACAGGCUACAAGUCUUGCUGCACAAUUGUGGACGAUUGAUUGUAGCAAGGUUUAAAAGUAGCUUGAAAGUCUCAAAUUGAGGCAUGCUGGAGUGGAAUCCGACUUUAAACUAAGGCUAGACUUGGUUCGAUAUGCAGGAGUUUUAUCAAAACUUACUUUAGCAAAUAAUACCAUCAGGCGUUUCUUUGUUAUCAAAUUCACAGAUGUUGUUGAGCCGCUGUUAGCUUCAGAUCUUUGUAGGUGCUUCAGAAGUUGUUGAGUACGCUUUGCCUUUUACAAUAUCGUCAAAAGUUUAAUUGACAGAAGAUGAUAAGUAGACUAUCUUUCAUAAUUAUUUGGAAAGGAAGGAUUUGUGAUUGGUUUGGUAGAGCUAGUUGGAACUAGGAAAGGAUUCUUUCAUAUAAUGUAUGGCGCUAUGUCCCCAGUUUUUGUUAUUGCCGCAACCCAAUAGGUUUUGAGAUGUUAAACAUACGAAUUUGUAUUAGGAGUACCUGAGUUGAGGAGGGAAAUACCAGUGAGCCCUGAAUCCAAAGAAGGGUGCUGAAGCAGAUGAACACCUAUGGGUAUGGGGUACGGGUUCAUUGAGAUAACUAGAAGACCCAUACUUGAGGCCAGCAAGUACUUUAAAUGCUCCACAAAUUGGAUGGUUGAACAGGAGUAGCCGUGGACCGGAGGUUAAGUAUGGGAUUGAAACGAAUAUUGGCAGAAGAUUCAUUGUCAAUGCAUCUGUGAUCACUGAUUAGCGGGGACUAAGGCUAUACUUUCAAGACACUACUAAUUUUAACUCGCGUGCUUAUUAUAUCCCACCGGCAACAGCUAAAGGAGAAAAUAGGAGGAAGUGAUCAUGGAAAAACGAAGAUGAUAUCAUCACUAUGGACUUUGUUCUCACGGCUGCCUGCAACUUGGAACUCUGCAAUAUCAUCCCUAACAUAUGGGAAAACCAUGAAACAGCUGCCAGAGGACAGUUUGCUUGAAAAAUGGGAUCCCGGUGCAAGACUGAAUAAUUAUUACUGACAAAACCAAAAAUUUUAAGAAGCACGCAAAAUGCUAAAUCCGCUAUAAUUAGCACUUUGAGAAAUCCACCAAAAGAUUGAAACCAAGCAUUAUUGCUUUUCAAGCUUAAAAGUAUCACACGCAGUUUAGAUUUUCAUCUCUUUGAGAUAAAAGGCAAAACUUUACUUACACUUACAGGUUCUGUGCGACCGUUACGGGACAUUCACAAGCUUAUGACAACUUUCUGCAGCUGAUCCCAAUUCCGGGGUCAGCCUUUCAAUCAAAGUUUCAACUCCUCAUUUUUUUCAGUAUCAGAAUUCUAUGUGCAUUUGAUGUGGAAACAUUGGAAACUCCCAUCUUGUUGAGAGUUAUCAUGUAAUUUGAAUUCAAGGCCAAAAGCUCAUGGCUGAGGAACGGAAUUCCUGCUUCUGCUAUACCUUGACAAGAACACCCUGGCACUGCAAGAAAGUGAUCUCUUUACCGCAGAAGUCUCUUUUUGCGAUGAUCUCUCCACCGAAGAACAACCCUCCGAUCUCGACAAGCACUGCUCAUUGCCAGCUCCCUUUGGAGCAAGACCCAUACUUGAUCCAUUCAUUUGCAUAUUCUUGUUGUCUGAGUUUCUGUCACAUUGUGGUGGAAAUGCAUUAGCAAUAGCAGCACUAACUUUGAAGGCUGAUAAGGAAUCCAUCGAAACUGAUCUUCUGAGCGGUUGAAUUCCUUCCUCCUCUCUGGCACCACUAUUUCCCACAUCUUCCAUGAAAUUUUCAUUUCUCCUCGAUGCAUUUCCGGUUCCUACCCUUGAUUCAUCUUCCUCUUCCACCUCAACACCGACUUCAAGAACCUCACUUUCCCUUUCUCUCUCGGAAUCCCUAUUAUUUUCCGAAACUCCCAUUUGGAUUUCCUCCACACGACCUGAAUUAUGAUGACUCUGCGACGAAGACUGGAGGUUAGCCGUGCUCACAACAAUCCCAGCUCGGCAAUUGGGGCAAUUGGUGUGUGAUCUGAGCCAAGUAUCAAUGCAAGGUAUAUGAAAAGCAUGAUUACACUUGGGCAGCAGCCUUAAAGUCUCAUCUUCUUGAAAUUCAUUCAAGCAAACAGAGCACUCUGUUCCUUCCACCAGUCCAUCACCUCUUUUAUACUUACAAAUAGUGAUUGCAUUAAUCACAGACGACUGAAGACCAACUGUCCUGAUAUACCAUAUGGGAUGGUCAACCACGGGACCCUGAUCUUCAUCAAGAAAAUCCAGAUGGGCUUCUUCAUCCUCUCCAGGCUGCUGCUGGGGCUGUGGAAUCAAUUGCCUACUCCUUGAAGACGUAUACCGACGUUUAUAAAACUUGUAUAUCAUGUAGAUAGAGAAAAUCAAGAAAGUUGUGGCUAAAACACCAAGAGACACGGAGAGGGAGACAUAGAGUCCAGAUGGCUGGGUAGAAUGCUUGCCAUCAGAAAGCAAAGUAUGAUCAGGAGGUGGUGGAGGCAGACCGGGAAAGAGUGGAUGGUUGCAGGUUGGAUAACAUUGGAGUAUACAUCUGACCGGACAAGAUCCGUCUAGGUUGUGUACAGGAUCACAGAAAGAUAGACAAAGUCUUUCAACUGAAUUCUCGAGAGAAUCAUUAAGCAACUUCCUGUGGUGGAAGGACAUGGCUCAUUUGAUUUUCAUAACAGUGAUUUUUCUGGGGUGUUCUUGGUGGGGUGAAGGAAGGAAGAAAGGAAGGGAGGAGGGGUUGGGGCCUGGGGGAUGGGGGGCUGGGGGUUGGAGGUUGGAUGAGGAUUGAGAUGGAUGGAAGAGUCGGCGAAGGCUACCACUUGGAGUUGGAGUGUUGCUGAAUGUUGACUAAAGCUAAUACUUUUUCGUUUUUUUUUGUCAAAAGAAAAGCUUUUCUUUUUUCCUAAUCCGGCCAUUUGUUGAUCUUGACUUCUACGAAGGUCCGUCUAACUUUGAAGGCGGCAGAUCGUCCUUGCAUGUCUUAUUUCCCUAUAUAAUCCGUAUUGUAUUGGAAAUUGCAAAAGUAAUACAAAGUUCUGAAUUUUUCUCAAAAUAAAGAUUUUACUUUGAAAAGACAAUUUCAAAAUCACAAUUUUAGAUGGCAAAUUCACAGGUUAUUUAUUCUUCAUUUCUCUCUAGAUUCCUUGUUCUAAAGUGGUCUAUAGUCAUCAUUUCAAAUAUUCGCUUGAAAGGAUCGAUCUAUAAUAGUAAUUUUUAAGUUAUCUUUUGAAAUAACGAAAUCUUUAUUUUAAAAAGAAUUAAAAAUUUUGGAAUUUCAAAUAAAUAUUGGAUUAAAUAGGUAAAAUCCCAUCAAGCUCACUCCAAAAUGGUCACUUUGUUUUUCUUUAGUUUUUUAUCCAUACAUGGUCAUGUAGUUUUUUGGGUUAAUUACAGUUUGCUUCCCUGAAUUUGAUCCAUUAUAACACUCUACCCCCCUGAACUUUAAAUAUAUACACUUUGCCCUCUUCAUUGAUUAAUCAAACAUUAAUGAUGAAUUCUCCAUCCAAAAUUUUAACAACAUAACAUUAAUGUCCUUACAUAAUAGUUCCAUAAUAAUACUAUACUUUUAAUUGAAAUAUGAAACAUCUUAUUAGAAAAAAAACACAAAGUCACAUGAUUUAAAAAAUAAAAAAAAAAUACAAGAUGGUAUAAUAUCAAAGAAUUGAAAAUUUGUAUUGCAGAAAAAAAAAUUUAAAAAUUCUUAGAACAUCUGCCCAAAUUUUCCAUCACUUAUCUUUCUUCCUUUAAAUUGUAAACGGAUUGAUUUUAAUAAUUUUCAUUUACGUUGCAACUUUCACAAGAUUUUCAAGAGUCAAUAAAAUGCUAUUUGGUAAUUUUAUACCGCAUUCAUACCUUGCUGUGUAUUUUGUUUGAGUUCUAUAUUUUAAAAAAUAAAAAAUUCUCUAACUAUGUUUUUCAAUAUAUUUUUAUUUUUAAUCAUGUUUUUAUAUUAUAUAAAACACAUUAAAAAGUACUACAAUAAAAAAUAAAAGCAAAUAAUUUUUAUUCCAUAUGUACUAAUUAAUUUUAUUUCAUUUAAAAUAAGUACUACUAUCGGCAAUGAAAUAAAUACAUUGUAUAUUUUUUUGGAAUCAAAGGCGUAUUUACAUUUUGAUUCACACGUGAAAAUUCUCCUUGAUUAUGUGGACAGCAGUAGUAUUGUGUAACUGUGUUGCAAUUGUUGGGUUAGUCCAAAUUCAACUGCAUAGUGGUGAAUGACGCUCAUUGUUGUUUCUUUCGUCUAUAUGGGCAUUACCUUUUUCUUUUUCUUUUUUUUAAAAAAAAAAAAAUUUUCAGCGCAAAAACAAAAAGUGUUUAAGUUAGAUUUAAGAGAGUUGUUGGCUAGUUUCAACUUAUUAGUGCAUUAUGCUCACAAAAUAGGGAACAAAUAAGCGCAGUAAUGCCACUGCCUUCUCUUGUCUCCGCACAUUAAUUCCAAAGAACUUUCAACCGAAACACUACGGUAGAAGCUGGUGAACUCACCAUGAGAAAAGAUCCAUUUUCCAAUGGAUAAAUAUUUUCUUUAGCUCAAAACUUCAGCAUUGUAAUUAUAAUUCUCUAGUUAAAUUUUUUUAAAAAAAUAUAUAUAUAUAUAUUGGCAUGGCCCUCCACAUGAGCACAACUUUCUUUCCUAAUUUUGAAUGGGAAACAACCAUCAUUUUAUUUCAGUCAAUUGUUUUACAUUUGAUAAAUGCUCCAGCUGGAGAAGUAGAACCCAGCAAUGCAUGUGGGAGCAGUUUAAUUUGGUCAACAACAAGGUACAUUUUUUAAGUAAUUGGUUCCGAAUCUGAGUUCAUAAAGGAGUUUUCUAGCCAUCACAAGUUGGCUUAAUUAACGAGAAUGAGUCAUUUUCUUGUAAAAAGUUGUAUGCUCAAAAUUAGCUGUUAAUGUGACGGUUGUGUUGAAAAAGAAUCUGUGAGAAUCUCUGUAAACGACCUAUGGUCCGGAGAGAUAUGCCUUGACUCAUAGUGAUGACCGGAGUCGAACCACCCAAAUUUUAAUUUACCCAAAAAAAAAAAAAUGGAGUUUCUGAAAAAGCAUCCACAACCAUUAAAACAGCUUGCCUAUUUGACCUAUCUGAUAAUGACUUCCAGGCUGAUAUUACCCGCAGAUUCUUCAAAUCCGGCUGCCUCGUACAUGAAAUUCUUUCCCUGAAAAAUGUGGUGCUGAUUGUAAGAGUCGACUUGAUGAACAGUAAUAAAAGGUACUGAUAUUUAUUAGUUUGCCAACAAUAAUCAAAUUUAGCUUAACAUAGUAAACGAAAUUAAUCUCGUGCUUAAUUUCAGUUUUCAAUUCUAGUGGUGGUACGUUUGAAGUAGAAGAAUCAGAUUGAAUUUGAUUAAUGCAACCCUGCCAUCUUUGUUUGUUUGUUUGUUUGUUGAUGAUUAUACUAAAUAGAAUACAUUAGUAUGGUUUAUAUUUUGAUUGUUCAGCUGCAUUUUGCACGAAUGAUAAGAAGUCAGUUCGUGAUAUAAUUAAUUACUAAUGGAUCGUUGUCAGUUGGGUGACCUAUCAAUAAUGAUACUUGAAGCGGAAAUAAUUACUGAUCACUACAGGGAAUAGUAUUACUAUUAUUUUCCACCCUGGAAAAAGUCCUCCCUCCGUAGCUAACUAACAACCCUGUCAUGCUCUUACGUUACUUCACCAGAAAGAAAGAGCAAAGGGCAGGGUAAAAAAAAAAAUGGAUAUAUAUAUAUAUAUGAUCCUAUAUUAUACACCCAGCAUUAGCAUUAAGAAGAAAGCAGCUUAAUUAAUUUGGAAGAUUUGACCUGUGAAAUUUGUUUCCAAGUACUAUGGUAUAUAUUUAGAAAAUCAAAUUGGAAGAAAAAACGAAACAUUACUAACUUGCACGGAAGAUGUUGCUUGCGAAAAUUUUAACUUAAAAAAGUGAUCAUAGGAUUAGGAAAGCUCGCAUCAUACCUUGGCGUGUUCGUAUCGAUCUGCUGCUCUCAAGUUAGUACUAAUUUUAACGUUUGGACCCAUAUUGUCUACACGAACACGUUCUGUCCAGUUCAAUUCGACCAAAUUAAAAGACUUCCAACUUGAGUUGUGGCAUCCCUCUCUAUAGCUAACAAUAAUAUACCAUCAAACCUAUUCAUUCAUCAACGAUAAGGAGUCCUUGUUCGAUCAGAAAGUUCUUUUUUUUUUUGUUGUUUUCGGGUGAAUGAUAAGCCUUUGGUCCGGUGGAAAAUCUGUUCAUCAUAUAGUACCAAGUAUAACUAUGUCAGCUGCUGCAAGAAACUCUCCCUACAAACUUCAGGAUUUGGUCACCCUACUUUACCGUUAUAGACUUUCUUCAUCGGUGGCAAAUGCCGGCAACCGCCAGUUCUUGUCAUCCAAGUUCCGUUGUGGCAAUUACAUGAAUCAAGGGUACUUAAGAUCAUUCACUAGCGCCCCCAUCGACCAAGCUGAUGCAAAAGGAAAACCCGAUUUUCAAAUGUAGCAGUCUCUCUCUCUCUCUCUCUCUCUCUAUAUAUAUCAUCUGCUGUCUCAUCUUCCAUUUUGCUAAAUAUAUUCUUCUUCUUUUUUCUACCUGUUCUUUUGGGGCUGUGUUUUGUUUGUUGUAGAUUGAAGGACGCAGAGAAGAAGGUUCAGCCAACGUUGCCGGCUUCUGCUGACAAGCAAAGCUUUUCAUCGUGGUAAUUAAGAACUAGCUUGUUUGGCAUGACUAAGGAGUACGCAGUAGGCAUGACUCAGAUAUGCUCCUCUGAAUAAUGUGCAAUUUUCUUAAUGAGUAUAAUAAGGGUAUGGAUCAUCUGGAGAGUAAUGCAUAUCCCAGCUUGAGUCCUCUCUUAACAAGUGCAUAUAUUAAGUACUCGUUAACCAAACUGAUUGUUAAAUGCUACUUCAUCCAAGGAAAAAGAUUGCCAAUGUAAAAAACACUUAGUUCUGCCUAACCAAAAAAUAUAUAGCUACUCAAAAGAUAACCAAUGAAUUAGACUUCAUAGAAACACAAAUUCCCCAGUUAGAAAGGAUGAUCUAUGUCAUACCCCACAAACUAUGAACCAAUCUUUAUGCCACAUCUAACAGCUAAGAAGAACAGUAAUUUACGCUUCUUGCUUAUUAAUUCAGCCUGCAUAAAAGUUUGAUUCGUUCGCUGCCUUCAAGUUCCCUCUCAACAUUGAAGACACGAUCUUUUUAUGGAUUAAAGGGAGAACUAAAUUCUGCAGGGCCAAGUGGCUUUUGGGUUCUUUGAUGACAUUAUUGUUGCCUUUCUGGAAGCAAGAGUGGGAAAGCUUACGAGGACUGGAAGGUACGUUUGUGUUAUGCGUACAAAACAACGAUUCUAUGGGGCCGGGUAUUUGAUUAAAAGGUGAUUUAAUUACUUGGAUAGUUGCAUCUCACUAAAUUAAAGCUUCUUUGAAUCAUAAUCGGGGAGCGUCCAGGGAAGGUGGAAAAGGUCGUUGGAGAGGUAGAAGUUGUAGCGGAGGUGGUGGAGAACGUGGCCACUGUGACGGAGAAGGUGUCAGCAGAGGUGGCUGAAAAGCUUCCGGACAAUAACAAAAUCAAAGAAGCUGUGCUGGCGGUAGAACACUUAUCAAGUGUGGCCGCUCAAGAGGCUAAAUUAAUCGAAGAUUUUAUUCACAACGUAUGUGGAUCAGUUAAGAAUAAAAAAGAAAACCAUUUGCUGUAAAUCAAUUACUGGUUCACUAAUGGCAGCUUGGCUACUUUGGGUUGACAGGUUGGUGACAUGAAGCAAGACCUGAAAGAGAUGGAGAAAAUAGCAGAGCCUGCAAUUGAAAAAGUAGUGGAACCCCAUCAUCAAGAACAAGCAGCUUAGAUGGACGCGAUUUUCUCGUGGCAAGGAGUAUUUUCCACGGCACUAAACGUGCAAUGCUAAUUAGUUCCCUGAUCCAUUUCUGUAAAAGCCUCGUCUUUGUUCUGUAAAUAACUGAUCAAUUCGUACGUGCAAUUUGCAGAUGGCUAUUGAAAGACCAAUAAGUUGAGCUUGGAAAAUGCUCUUUUAGAUUCCACUUGAUGAUCGAAUUUUGCGUAAUUAACAGUCUAUUAAUUGUUUUUGUUCUUCUGAAAGCCAUGCAGCUUCAUCAUAGACUAUAUCUGUUUAAGCAUUUAACUUCCAGCCAAGAAGCUACAUUUGUGUCUCUUCCAACUCCAUGCAUCUCCCAAAUUACCUUAGUACAAUAUGUAGCCAUCAUUGUCCUAUUUGCGAAAAGUUCCAUACCGCCAUCAUUGUCAAAAAAAAUAAUUAAUUAAAAUUAAAAUACUACUCCCACCUAGAAUUUUACAGAAAAUAAAAAAUAAAAAAUAAAAUACUACUCCCUUCCACGUGACAUGUUACACGUUAGGCGAUGGAUGUCAUUGUAGCAAAAAACUAAUUCUAGUGUCCAUGUAAGAUCUAUGUUGGUAGGCCAUAUAUAAUAACUUCUGUAAGUGACCAUGUCCUAAGCCAUAGUAGUGAUUAAAUUCGAACCCAUUUGAACUUUUAAUUAGUAAAAAAAUUUAUUGGAGAGACCCAGCAGAAUUAAUAACAGAGGCAGCAGAAGCCCCUCAGAUUUCAGAAUUGAAUGAAAGUCUGUGGAAUGCGGAUUAAUACCACGUAACAACCCAUAGGCUUUUUUAUCCGCCGCUCUAUAUCACGUCAAUAAUGAGUGUGUCUAGGUAGGUAGCAGAUUAUUCGAAAUAAUUUUUUAAAAAAAUUAUUAUAAUAUUUUUUUAAUAUAAUAUAUAUAAAAUAAAAAUAUUAUUGAAAAAUAUGUUAACAAUACAAACAACUAUUUUCUAAUCCAUGAUGAAGAUUAAGGAUCAUUCUUUUAUAAUUGGGUAGAUAAGAUUUUGUUAAUAUCCGAAAAAGAUACAAAAUACAAGGGGCAUACCCUAUCCGGCCAUAAAUCAACCAACAAAGACACAGAUACGCUCACACUGUUGACAAAUUAUCAUUUAGAGAGAAAUUACGCGUAUUUCUUCUCUCGGUAUAAUCCCUGAAAAAAUCGCUAAAUGGAUGAUAGCUUGAAGGUUCAAAUCUUCAGCAGAAAGCUGAUAAAACCAUCAAAUCCAACUCCAAGUCAUCUUAGAAGCUUCAAGCUUUCAUUGUUCGAUCAGCUAGCUCCUCCACUAUAUGUUCAUAUACUCUUCUAUUACUUGCUUGAUGAAGAUCACAAUCGAGCCGAAAACGAUGAGAGAUUUGCUCAAAUGCAGAAAUCCUUGUCCCGGGUAUUAUCCAAGUAUUACCCUCUAGCUGGCAGAUUCCUUAAAGAUGAACUCUUGAUUGAUUGUGCGGAUCAAGGAGUUGAAUACUUUGAGGCACAUGUCAAUGGAGAACUUGUGGAGUUUCUUCAAGAAGGACCAGAGAUUGAGCUUCUGAAUAAAUUUCUGCCCUGGAAUCCUCCUCCGUCGCCAUAUCUGGCAACAAGUCCACUAGUAGCAGUCCAAAUCAACAAGUUUGAAUGUGGAGGAGUAGUGGUAGGCAUCCAAAUUUCACACUUCAUUGUAGAUGCCAGUUCAAUGAUGACAUUCCUGAAGGAAUGGGCUAACAGCUGCACUAGCCCGACAGAGAUGUAUCCAGUGCUCAGUCCUAAUUAUAAUGAUCACUUUGUUUCAAUCUUCCCGGCAAGAACACUAUCAGGGCCUAAACCCCGGCCACCAGCCGACUACCCUGCUAAGAUAGUCACGCAAAGAUUCUUGUUAGAUGAAACGAUAAUAGAGAAGAUCAUGGAAGGAGCUGCUUUAUCUUGUUCAAAAUGUAAUUUUCAUCCAUCUAGAGUGGUGGUAGCGUUAGCACUGAUAUGGAGGGCUCUCCUAGGAGUAUGUCUUGCCAAACAUGGGCACUUCAGGGACUCAAUUGUUGCUAUUGCAAUGAACUUGAGGGGGAAAACAGCUCUAACAAUAUCAGAACCAAAUUAUGGGAACUUUUGGACCUCGGUCAUAGUUCCAUUGGAAGCGAAAAAAGCCAAGAUACAGUUGCAGGAGCUGAUGAUAUUACUCGAUAAUAGAAUAAAAUCCACAAGUGAAAAACUUGCAACAGCUAGUCCUGAGGAUAUUUCAUCAAUGCUGAUCGACUCCCGCAGAGAGAUUAUUGAGAAACGUUAUCUGUCCGUUGGUAUAGAUGUUUACGUUUGUACCAGUUGGUGUAGGUUCCCGAUACAUGAAGUUGAUUUUGGUUGGGGAAAACCACAUUGGGUAAGUCAUGCAAGCAAAGCAAUUGAGGCGAUUGGUUUGGUGGAUGCCAAAAAGGGAGAGGGGCUUGAAGCAUGGGUAAGUUUGAAAGAGGAGGACAUGAUCGAAUUCAAAAGAGCACUGGAAGUUUUAGUGCCAGUGCCCAAAUGAUAAUUCUAGCGUCCUUGAAGUUUAUACUGUGAUUCCACUUUGAUUAGCUACAUUUUACGGUAACAUCGAAUCUUGUUUUCCCGUCCUUUGUACUGCAGUUAUGGUGCUAAUAUUCUGAAAAUCAUGUUUAGAAUUUGUUUUUCAUCUUAUACUUUUUUCUGACAAACUAAGACAAUGCCAGUACUAUUUAUUUAUUCGAUUAACAGAUCAGCAGAGUGAGGUGUCUCCUGCAAUUCAACCGUGUAAAUCUUCCUGUUUGAAAGAACUAGUUUUGCCAAGGGACUUAUCACUUAUCAGGGCUAUUCCCCUGAUCGUUUCAAACUUUAGCUCAUAUCUAAUGCAGUCAGCUGAAGCUACAUUAUCCUCAAUCACAUGAAAAUUGCCAAAUUGCGUCAGACAUGCUAGAUUGGAAAAGACCUCACAGAAAAAGAACCUCCCAAGUCUUUAAAGAGGAAGUUCAACAUUGUAUCAUCUUUUGAUCUUUCAGAAUGGUAUUCCUAUAUACAUCAGACAGGCUUCAAGAAGUAAACAAUUUUCAGACAACUAUUGCACAAAUUGCAGCUAAAAUGCAUAAAUCAGGAAAAAAGAAUGACACGCAAUGCAUGACAGUAGAAAGAACAUAUAAUGACUAUCACUAGAAUAAGG
This 38948-nucleotide long non-coding RNA is filed under the name Coffea arabica (coffee). RNAcentral's name for it is "long non-coding RNA (CARA_LNC001054)". The record is from RNAcentral. Lineage: Eukaryota; Viridiplantae; Streptophyta; Magnoliopsida; Gentianales; Rubiaceae.